GUGGUCUUAAUGAGGCUGGUGGGAAAAGAACAUGGUGGUCUAGCACCGAAGAAGGCAGCCAUCACCGAGGGACCAUCACUACCAGGACAGCCUGGACAAGGGAAGAAGAUAGGUCAUCGAGGCGUUGAUGCUUCUGGUGAAACCACCUACAAAAAGACCACCUCAUCCACUCUGAAGGGGGCCAUCCAGCUGGGGAUUGGAUAUACUGUCGGCAAUUUGAGCUCCAAGCCAGAGAGAGAUGUCCUGAUGCAGGACUUCUACGUGGUGGAGAGCAUUUUUUUCCCAAGCGAAGGGAGUAAUCUCACCCCGGCUCACCAUUAUGCUGACUUCAGGUUCAAGACCUAUGCACCAGUGGCUUUUCGGUACUUCCGAGAACUCUUUGGCAUUCGUCCAGAUGAUUAUUUGUAUUCGUUAUGUAACGAGCCUCUGAUAGAGCUGUCGAACCCUGGUGCCAGCGGCUCCCUCUUCUAUGUCACCAGUGACGAUGAAUUCAUCAUAAAAACUGUGAUGCACAAGGAAGCUGAAUUCCUACAGAAGCUCCUUCCUGGCUACUACAUGAAUCUGAACCAGAACCCACGGACGCUGCUGCCGAAGUUUUAUGGACUGUACUGUGUGCAGUCAGGGGGCAAAAACAUCCGCGUGGUCGUGAUGAACAACAUUCUGCCUCGUGUGGUGAAAAUGCACCUGAAAUUUGACCUGAAAGGCUCAACCUAUAAACGCCGGGCAUCAAAGAAGGAAAAAGAAAAGUCCAGCCCUACGUACAAGGAUCUAGACUUCAUACAAGACAUGCCUGAGGGCCUGAUGUUGGAUGCAGACACCUUCAGUGCAUUGGUGAAAACUUUGCAACGAGACUGUCUGGUGCUGGAAAGUUUUAAAAUCAUGGACUACAGCCUCCUGCUUGGGGUUCAUAACAUAGACCAGCAAGAACGGGAGCGGCAGUCUGAGGGAGCCCACAGCACGUCGGAUGAGAAGCGUCCCAUGGGGCAGAAGGCACUUUACUCCACGGCCAUGGAGUCCAUCCAGGGUGGGGCUGCCCGGGGGGAGUCCAUAGACACAGAUGACACGAUGGGAGGAAUCCCAGCAGUGAAUGGCAAAGGAGAGCGUCUCCUCCUACAUGUAGGAAUAAUAGAUAUCCUUCAGUCAUACAGGUUCAUCAAGAAGCUAGAACAUACCUGGAAGGCCCUUGUCCAUGACGGGGACACGGUGUCAGUACACAGACCCAGCUUUUAUGCAGAGAGAUUCUUCAAAUUCAUGACUAACACGGUGUUUCGAAAGAAUUCCUCUCUGAAGUCAUCUCCCUCGAAGAAAGGGCGUAGUGCCUUGCUAGCUGUCAAGACGGCCGGUCCAACAGCCGCGUUUUCAGCUAGCCAGCUUCCCUCUGAAAAGGACGAAACACAGUAUGACCUUCGUGCGGCCAGGAGUUACCCCACGCUUGACGAUGAAGGUGCUAAACUUAACCAGGACAGGGGGGAAGGCAGGCCAGACCUGCUACCCUGCACACCACCUUCCUUUGAAGAAGCCACCACGGCCUCCAUAGCCACAACACUAUCUUCAACAUCUCUCUCCGUUCCCGAGCGAUCCCCUUCGGAGACCUCUGAGCAGCCCAGGUACAGGAGGCGCACACACUCCUCAGGGCAGGAUGGCAGGUCACACGAAGAGGUGCGGGUUGAGGAGGAGCUUCAGCAGAUCAGUGUCGAGCUGGAGCCCAAGUGUGACGUUGAGAUCAUAGCUCCCGAAGAAGAUGACAAAGAAGAGGCGGCUUCUUCAGCCUGUGCCAUUGUAACGUCCACAGCUACAAUAGAGGUGGAGACAGCCAGCCAGGCCUCGGAACCAGCCAGCCAGGCCUCCGAUGAAGAUGACGUGCCAGUCACAGACAUAUAUUUUUUCACAGAUGGGAGGUACUGGAUUUACUCUCCCCGUCAGCGCAGAGUCCGAACCACCUCGCUUUCCUCUGGGAUUGUAAGUGAACUUGUAGGGAAGCAGAGCUGCAGCUUUGAAACACUGAGGCCAGCACUCCCUUUCCCUUGGAUGCUGUGGCUGUAUUGUGUGGCCCUUAGGAGCCAGCCCAGCAGAAACCAGGGAAGCGUACCGAAUUCCCCCAAAUGCACGUCCCUGUAGAAUCUUGCAGAAACACGUUCUGCUCUGCUUUCCUGCAGGCUGGUGACACAGCUCCUGCCAUGAGAUGGGCUGAUCACCCAGCCUUGGACAAACUUGGCAGCACCAGACUUGGCCAGGGAAACACCUGAGCCUUUGUAGGUCAUGUUAGGCUUGGCUCCCUUGGCCCAGGAAGCCAGAGAGGGUUCCAGAGAGACCAUUAAGAUGUUUUGAAGCUGCUAAAAAUCCUGUUGCAAAUAAAACCUUUUAGGCUUGUGGCUGGUCAUCUUUCUGGUGGCUGGGAUGGUGAGCAGCUCAUAAAGACAAACGAGUUAGAAGUUGCUGCUGGGUUGGGAAUGGUUUCUGCUCUCCAGCCCUUCUCAGAAUCACUGAUAUGCUCCCUCCUCGCUGCAGGUUUUCUGUGAGCGGUAAGGAUUUUCCUUUCCAAAAGAUACAGGGAGGCAGUUGAGCAUUUGAGGGGAUUAAUCCAGAGCUCAAGACUGCUCUGGGUUUUAGUAUUUCCUUUCUCAGGCUUUGGGAGAGCUGAUGUCCUCAGAGGGUAAUGGCAGCGCUGUCAGAGCCUCGGCACAAGCAUUUGUGUAGCAUGGUCCUCCCAGUGCCUGCCCUUUUGGUACCAGGCAGGGGAGCAGUGGAGAGGGCAUCAGGCAGGGUGCAUGGGGAAAUGGGCAGUAACAUGCUCCUGGCCUUGGCUGAUGGCAUGAGGAAAGUGCUGCACCUUCAUGGGCAAGCGGGCCACCCCUCCCAGCAGCUCCCCCUGCCCCCUUGGCUGGGUUUGGCUGCCUCAGCACUGGGAGGGUUAACACCGAACACCAGAUGCUCCUUUAUCCACCCCCCCCCGCCGGCUUUACAGCUCCCUGCAUGCAUCUGAGCUCCUAAAAGGCUCUGAAGGAGGCUGACUGGAGCAUGCGGUUCAGUCAGGAUGGAUGAAAAACAGGAUGUGGGGCAGGCUUUAUGCAGUGUUGAGCUUUCCUGCACAUCUAGCAGAGCCCUGUAAGAGGCUCCAGGCAAGGGUUUCUCUUCCCUCCUUCCUCCCAGCGGUCUCUGCUGAUUUAGCUGCAGCUUUUGAUGGGGUUCAGCAUGCGGAGCCCAGUGCUUCAAAGCUCCUCUGGCUUCUUGUAGUUUCUUGUACAUCACAGACUGUUACACUUGGUUCCCAGGCUGGGAACCCCCCCAGGCUUCUUCCAAGUACCCAGCGCUAUUUGUCUUCCUUUGCAGACCCCAGGCUGAGUCAAAGGGGGCAGUUUUCUCUCUCUGGGAGCACCCCUGGAGCCAAAAGAGCCUGUCUGCAGUGGAAGUGGGUCCCUGGGAACACUGGGAGCAGACACCAGCCCUUGAAUCUGCCUGGGCUUCUCUGUGCUGUGUUGGCAGCAGAAGUGUGUUUUGUCACACUGGUGCCCACCGCUGUGAUAACGGGCUCCCUUGACACACGUCCCCUUCCCCCUCAUUCCUUCCAGGAUCCAGCUGUGUUUUGCCUCCUCUGUUGUACCUGUUCCCAUCACCCCGCUGUCUCCAAGACUGUGUUAACCAUUUGCUUUCUGUGGCCACCAUCCACCACGGUCUAACCCACCUAUCUGCUGCCUUGCUUGGCCUGCAGGGAAGGGGGGGAAGGCUCAGCAAACCGGGUCAGGUUUCACUCUAAAAGCCCUCCUGGACACCAGAGAUGGCCAGCUUGUAGCAUGCACAGGGCUCAGGAAAUGGGAAGUUGAGAGCUGGAACUGGGUAGCAGGAACAGAGCUUUGUCACUACCCUUAGUUAAGUCGCUUCCCGUGUGUCUCGGUUUCUCUGGAGCUGGGGCGAUGCUAUGGCAGGGAGAGGAGGUUUCCCUGACAUCUCAAAAGCUCUAGAAGUCCGUCCCUGCAAGAGGAAGGGUUGUGCCAUCCCCACUGCAGCUGGAGCAGGGUCCAGGGUCAGCUGCUGGCCGGCUGUCCCAUGUCCCAGCUGGUAGGGAGCAGUUCGUACUGAGGAAGGGGAAGGCUCCUCUGCUGAGAGCUGGCACUGAGCUCAGUUCUCUCCCUCCAGGUGGUACAGCUGUUCUUACUGUAUUGUUUCCUACUCUUUUUAUUUUCUCCUUUUAUUUUUUCCUCUUCUCUCCUUUGCUCCCUGCUCUGCUGCUGCUCUCCUUGCAUUCUCCCCGCCGUCUCUGGCCACUCUGGCAGCCGACAGACGAGAGGAGUUGGGUUUACUCCCCGCUCCACUAUAGCGCUCAACUCCACUCUGUCUCCGAUGAGGAGAGCGAUACAUAAUCUCUAUGCAGACACAGAAGCCCCAGAGAGCAGCAAUUCCCUCUGCAGGUCGAUGUGUUCCCUUUUCGUUGAUGCAGCCGUUCCAGUGGGAUGGGGAAGAGCUUGCUGACACCAGUAUUGCUGCACUGCAGGAUCUCAGGCACUGCAUUUCAGAACGGAGCAAAACUAUAACCGUGUAUUUCUACUUAUCCCAGACGUGGGCAGCAAAGAAACCACCCGCUCACCCACAACUCCCAACGGAGACACCCAGCUGGGUGUAGAGAAUCCUGGGUAGUAACACAGUGUUUUCCAGACGUGCACUAUCGUAGCUACCUAUCCAUGUGUGAUACUGUGAACCUUUUUAAUUUUUUAACCAUGUAUUUAUUUCUUUUAUCUUUGCACAGAGACAGCACAAAUGUGCUUUUUUAAACAUUUAGUUUACUGCACUUUUUUUUUUUUUUUUGUUAUUGUUGUCAUAUAUUUGUGCAUCAGAAAGGAGUGUGAGACCUCACUGGAGAAUUGGUAGGAGCACGUUGCUGGGGAGGGCAGGGACCGGAGUGGCUUCAUUUGAGGCAGCAGUGUGGUCUAACCAACUGAUGGAGUCAGGAGGUUUAAGGCUGUCCGGGCUCUGCCACGGUUUUGCCGAGUGACCUAAAGCAAGUCACUUAACCACUCUGUGCCUCGGUUUCCCCCGUGCUAAUGGGUGUUCAGUACCCAAUUCCGUUAAAGCACUUAAACCCUGGGAUGAAAGGUGCUAUGUAAAUGCAAUGUAUUAAAGGCCAUUGAGUAGAAUUGCUCCCAUGUUACAGUAGUCCAAAGUAGCCAUGCCAAUUUACAGGGAUUCAGAAAUCGCUAGUGACUUCUCUUGAGCUGUAACACUGUGCGAGGGAAGCAAAUGAUUCCUGGUGACAGUGACGUGGUCACCUCGGCUCUUCUCCGGACAUCACGAUGGGUUCUGCCUUCGCCGUGUGCUGCACUGCUGUGUCACCCCGUCCCUCUGUGCUUGGAGCCCACGUUUCGUCUCACCGGCUGCCACACCACCGCCUGCUCCAGACACACGGGCGCGGACAGAGGAGAUCUGUGCACCACCAGGGACCAGCCGCGCCGGAGGGCGGGUUCCCCGCUCCACCCUGCCCCAGGUGUGGCUCCUCCGGACCCUGCAUCCCACUGCAGCCACUUAGCACCUCGCAUGCUCAUGGGUGUAUCCGACCGCCCAGUCCUUGGGGGUCGUGAACAUCGGGUUCACACGCAUCCUCCGUACCUCAGGGUGCUCUGGGAGGCGCACGCAUGUCCACGCUCGCUAGAGGCAGAAGCGGAAGCCUGGCUCUGCCACCUGAUUGUGCCAGGCAGUGUUGUGUUCCUGGACUCUCUUGGACAAAUAGCUGGGUGACUGGGAUGUUGCCUGUGGUAACAUCUGCUCUUGGAAAUUGCUGCCUUGGAUGUCUGAGAUAGUUUUUGCUUUUCGAGGGCUGCAGGCUUUAGGCGAGAGGAUUUGGUGUCACUGGGUAGUGUUCAGACUGGGCUCAUCCAUCAUACACCAUAGCAUUGUCUUGAACUCUAGCAAUCCCAUCCUCAUCUCCCAGAGAGAAGAAAGGAAAUCCUUUAGGCCAGAGGGAGCCAGGUCUUAGUCAUGUUCUUUACAAGCCUCACUUGAGAAAGAGGGACACAAAUUCUUUAUUCUCGUUAAUGUCAUUGGAAUUCCUUGGAGGAGGAGUGGGGAAGCAGGACCCUUCUCUUGGGGCUCAGUCUCCCUGACCUCUCUUCACAGCAGCACUCAGGAUGGAUUAAUUCAAGUCCCAGAAGGUAACUGGGCUGGUGGGAAGCUCUUCCCCUCUCUUAUGUGCUGAACUUGGUGAGGAUCUUCAUGAAUUGACAUUUUCUUGCCUAGAAGUCUGGGACCUAGCCUUCCCCCCCUUGCCUACAGAUGCUGAAGGCUGUAACGCGAGCUUCUCUCGAGAGCACAGGCUGGGGAUCUUGCAAGCUGCUACCAUUAGAUGUAUUCAUCUAUUUACCAAAUAAUCUAUCAAAAGUCUUUCAAGAAACUCUCCCCUUUCAGUCGCUACUUGACAACUCGUUGUUCACCCAGCUAGUAGCGUUGCUCCAUGGCAGCCCCUGCAGUCGGCUGGGAGGGGGCUCCCAACCCACCCCGUCUGCUUGUGCCGGUCCCACCCGGGCUCUGCUCAGCCUGGGCAGUGCUGGGGGGGCUCAGUAGUUUGGAGGAGGGGAGACGGGAGGAGUGCAAUACCUACAGACUAACCUGCCUCUGAGCUGAAAGCAAGAGGCUUUGAAAUACUAAAAAUUCAGCCUUUGUUUUUUUCCCUCCAGAAGCAUGAUACCAUGCGUGGAGAGGCCAGAGGGAACCAUAUCCCUUCUGCAUCUUCAGAUGUUGCUCUUGGGUGCUGCGCUGGAGGAACGCAGGAGGUUUGGGCUCAGGCUGUCUGACCUGAGGCCCAGCUGUCCUGGUACCACCAUGUUCAUGGGCUGGUGGGUCGGGACUUCCCAGCCAACUGAAAUCAAGCAUCUUUGUUAAGAUGGUUUAAGCAUCAUUGAUGGAGACUUUAUUCCUUCCCCUCAUUUCAGGGGUCUCUAAGGCUGCUUUAGCCUGUGUGCAGGGAACAUCUGAGCCCCACCUUCACGGAGUAUCUCAGUGAAUGAACAUUGCAAGCUGGAGCUGUGCUUGGUCCCAAGAGAUGUGGGGAGACCCAGACCUUUUGCAGCAUGUUCAUUCCAAGUGUCUUUCCUCAAGCAUUCAGGCUUUUUGAGACAAUCCUUGUGCAGUUCUGUAACACUGAACCUUUUGGAGUGAGCAGGUCUGGACACAGAGGGUUGGUCCUCUGUGAAGAGAACACGUGAAGGGCUUAGAGCAGCUUUGUCAGCAUGAGGGGCAGGAGCAACCUUCCUUUGGGGAGAUGUUGAUCUGAAACAGAAACUGCCCCUCUCUGGGCUUGCAUGUGCUGCCUACCUACUGCCCAGUUAACUCGGUGCUGGAGAACUGCACAGCCUCCACUUCCCAUGGAAGCUAAAAGGACCUCGGAGUUUAAAGCUUGCUGUUAGUUCACCUCUGCACUGUGCUGCGGCAGGAGAGCGUUGGGGAGCUUGGGAGCGUUUCCCAAGCACCGUCAGCGCUGCCUUUGCAGGGGACACAGUCAGAGGGGGCAGCACUAGGUCUUGUCCACAGGAAUGAGCAUCGGCCCUUUUUUGAGGAAGAGAACCAUGACCUGUCCUUGGUCUGAGUGUCCCUCCAGCUAUACUUCCAGCUCAUCAGGGACAUGAAUUGCCUGUACUUUCUCUGUCAGGGCUUUCUCUAGUGACCCAGCAGCUUGUCAGCGGGUGCUGUAACCCCUUCAUUCUCUCCACAGUUACAAGGAGGCACUGACUCCUCCGAGAUUUGAGCAGAGCAACCCUCUGAGACAGCUGGUUCCCACGUAGCUCUGUUUGCUGCUGCUCUUCACCCCCAUCAUCCCAGCUGGGACUCAGCUCUGCGAGACAUGCCCUGAACAUUGUGUGGUGUGGAGGCUUCUAGUGAGCUCAUGGCUUGGGCUUUUGCCAAACUGCAGGUGGCUGCUGCCUGUCACGUAUGCAUUGGGCAAGAGAAAGUGGGCAUCUCUGUGCUUGCUGUCAAGCUCCUGUACUGGCUCCGCCCUUAGCAGGCAGGUGUAGAGCAGAAGGCACGGGGCAAACCAAGGAGCUGUUGUAGAGAGCCCUGAAUGCUCACGCAGGGGAUCCAGCUUCUGUCUGCUGGUGCCUCUGCGGUGAGCGGCUCAGCCACGAGUGCCGAAAUUGCGCUUUGGGAAGUUUUCUUGGUGAAGGCAGAGCACUUGCAGGUCUUGGCAGAGGGCUGGCACAGGCGCAGUGGCUCCAUCACCCCGGGUUGUCCCUGGGCUCCCGAAGCACGGCCCCUUUCCCCCAGCUCAUUCCGGCCACCCUUGUGCUCCAGCUCUUUCCAAAAAGGACAAGGUGAAAGCUACGGCUCAGGCGUACCGGGUCAUGUCUGAUUUUUCUUUCCAUUGAUGUCUACAUUAGACCCAAGUAUGUUCUAUUGGAUGUUCAUAUUCCCACUCGUUUCCCGUGUCCGCUCUGUGCGUGCACCAUGUAACGAAUGUAUGUAAGUAGGGGGGCGCGGGGGUGAUGCCAACCCGUGGGUGUUGUCAUGUUUCUCUUCUUUUGGGGGGGGUUUAAGUCAUGGGCGCUUUUUUUUAUUGGUUGUUUCGAGGUUUGGUUUUUUUUUUCCCCUCCCUCUCCGGGGAGCCCUUGUUCCAGAGAACUGUAAAUGGAUGCUAUCUGUCCUCGGCUCUGUGAUAAAGCGUACUCUAGUCUGUGCUGUGCUCA
Athene cunicularia (burrowing owl) is the source of this 8666-nucleotide RNA transcript. It is a transcript of the gene named phosphatidylinositol-4-phosphate 5-kinase type 1 gamma, with no coding region annotated. The transcript is spliced from 19 exons. The record is from RefSeq and is a predicted model, not a curated record. Lineage: Eukaryota; Metazoa; Chordata; Aves; Strigiformes; Strigidae.